This 470-nucleotide ribosomal RNA is filed under the name uncultured bacterium. RNAcentral's name for it is "SSU rRNA". It matches the Rfam family "Bacterial small subunit ribosomal RNA", at positions 26 to 518 of the family's 1533-position model. The record is from RNAcentral.
AGAACGAACGCUGGCGGCAUGCCUAACACAUGCAAGUCGAACGCUCUUGGGGCUUCGGUCUCAGGGGAGUGGCGCACGGGUGAGUAGCGCGUGGGAACCUGCCCUGUUGUGGGGGAUAACCGAGGGAAACUUCGGCUAAUACCGCAUAAGCCGGUUGUCUUGAAGGAGAUGGCCGGGAAAGAUUUAUCGCGACAGGAGGGGCCCGCGUCGGAUUAGCUAGUUGGUGGGUAACGGCCCACCAAGGCGGUGAUCCGUAGCUGGUCUGAGAGGAUGAUCAGCCACACUGGGACUGAGACACGGCCCAGACUCCUACGGGAGGCAGCAGUGGGGAAUAUUGGACAAUGGGCGCAAGCCUGAUCCAGCAAUGCCGCGUGAGUGAUGAAGGCCUUAGGGUUGUAAAGCUCUUUCGCCCGCGACGAUGAUGACGGUAGCGGGAGAAGAAGCCCGGCUAACUUCGUGCCAGCAGCCGC